CAGAGCCUGACUUGGGACUUGAACUCACAGACCGCAAGAUCAUGCCCUGAGCUGGUGGUAUGCUUAACCAACUGAGCCACCCAGGUGCCCCUAUGCUUGUGUUCUUAAGAUAGAACUUCUUUCAGGUUUUCUAAUACUAAUCAAGUCUUGCACUUUUUAUGUUAAAGGUUUUUUGUGUUUUUUUUUUACACAGAGGAUGUAUAUAUUUGGAAUGUUUAUUUUCGUGUUGCUUAAAAUAACAGAAUGAUGAAUAACAUGUCCAAUAUUUAAUGUUCAGCAUAGAUGUGGGUAAGUAAUAGUACCUCACACUCAGCUAACAUUACUGGGAUGAAUGAAUUAUCCACAUAAUGAUAUAGUAAGGUAUUACAAUAAUUUAAAGAGGUCCCUAGUUGAGCAUAGAUCUAACUAGCUGGGUCAUGUCUACUACACCAGUGUGGGGAGAAUCUUACUGGCUUGAAACAAAGAUUUUUCCGAUGAGUUGCUGUUGUGCCCUGUGCAUGGAAGUAUGAAAUUCCAUUAAAGGAAGCUGUUGUUAGAAAUAAAAUGGCUGAUUUUGUGUAAAAGUAGAUAUGACCCAUGAUCCAUGUGAGACAACCUUGGAGACGCUCAUGUCGUUGGGAAACAGCGCAGGCUGGAGAUCCUGCAUUAGCAUCUAGGAGUAGAAGUACUUGUAAGUACCAAGCAGUAUUCUAAGCACAUCACAUUAACUGAAUCCCCUCAUCAUCACUGAGAAGUAGGUGGUUAAUUCCCACAUUGCAUCCUACAGACAAGUGAAUUGCUUGAUGUCACAGUAGGAAGUGGCAGGUCUGUGCCACAUUGCCUUUAUUAAAUGAAGAAUAUUAUGUGGGGAAAAUGGAUGUUAUAAAAGGAGAAAUUAGGAAUGGGGAUCAAAAGGAUUUCCAUCUAUUCUGAAUGUCCUCAAUUAUAAUGUUCUAUUAACAUGAUAAAAAGGGCACUUUAUUUUGAAGUAUGCUUCAUGCCCAGUGUGGAGCCCAGUGUGAGGUCUGGACUCAGAGCCCUGAGAUCAAGACCAGAGCUGAGAUCAAGAGUCGGAUGCUCAACUGACAGAGCCACCCAGGUGCCCCAAAAGGACACUCUUUAAAUAGGCUUUCCUCUAUCAUAACUUCUAACCAGUUUAUAUUCACUAAAGACCAUAUGAGAAGCUUACCAGCAGUAGUCAGAUUAAUUUCACCUUUUCGAAAUAAACCAGGAUAAAACCAUUUUGCCCUGAUCCUACUUAAGCCUAGUUCUGAGAGCAGAAGCUGGCAUUUUUGCUAUGUUUUUAUAUUUAAGCUGGCAUUUUUAGAUAAGCCACUGUAUUCAUUAUGUGCAUAGCUAUUUGAAAGUAUAAGAAUGUCAUAAUUUAACGUGGAAAGAGCUGGAUUUAUUUGAAAAUGCCCUUGGUUCUUGGGCUCUGCGAGCCUGCUGUAUUAUAGGCCCUGAUUCUUUGUCCCAUCUGAUCCAUUGAUUAAAAUCACAAUUUGAAGACUUGGCAGGAGGUGCAUGUCUGCUAGUCUCCCAGAAUUGAUUGGGAGUGUUGGAGACAGUCAUAGGCUAUCCACCCUACACAACAGGGAGGAAGGAGAGUGACAGAUGUCCCUGACAUGGGUUUCUAUGUUUUCACUUAAUUUUUUAAAUUAAAAAAAAAAAAAAAACUUCUCUUUCUGCUGUCCUCCCACGUCUCAUUUCUUGUUGAACAGUCACAGAAAUAAUACUGAUAGCAGUAAUAGUAAUAGGCAUUUUUCUCCUCGUCUUCUGCCUUUUUGGUGUUUUUCAGUGUGAGCACGCACAUACGUAAAUGCACACAAAGACUGCUGAAUUCUGCACAAACACUGGCUGGAGUACUGUCUGUGAUCAGCAGUUGGCUUACUGGCAAGCAGGCCCAGAACUGUAGGUCAGGAUCUCCAUUCAUGCUGUGAUCUGUCCGUGGUACUUGGCAAAGCUCACUAGCAAUGUGAAAAGAUUCCCAGCCAGCCAUGAAAGCACAGUUGAUUUAAAGCUAUCCGAGAUGGGAAAUUGUGCUCUUCACUCACUUUUCCUCUUUCCACUUGCUGGGAAGGGAUGACAACAUGAGCAACCAUCUUAGACCUAGGAAUGAAGCCAUGGAGCCUUCCACCAGCUGUAUACCUGGAUGACUAUGUGGAGCAGAGGCACCCAUUCAUUCCUAUCUUAUUUGAGCCCAUUUAUUUUGGAGAAAUCCUCUUUUUGCCAUUUUUUCAUAUGCCAACUGCUUUGUUGCUCUCUCAACUAGACUCCAAGUAAGAAAUGACAUCUGGUCUUCUUUUUUUUUAAGUUUAUUUUUUUUAGUAAUCUCUACACCCAUGUGGGGUGCG
This is a long non-coding RNA of Leopardus geoffroyi (Geoffroy's cat), 2333 nucleotides long. RefSeq lists it as uncharacterized. The record is from RefSeq and is a predicted model, not a curated record. The transcript is spliced from 3 exons. NCBI's taxonomy places the organism in Eukaryota, Metazoa, Chordata, Mammalia, Carnivora, Felidae.